Molecule: ribosomal RNA, 497 nt
Filed under: uncultured bacterium
Lineage: Bacteria
Description: partial 16S ribosomal RNA
Rfam family: Bacterial small subunit ribosomal RNA
Source: RNAcentral
GAUGAACGCUGGCGGCGUGCCUAAUACAUGCAAGUCGAGCGAACGGACGAGAAGCUUGCUUCUCUGAUGUUAGCGGCGGACGGGUGAGUAACACGUGGAUAACCUACCUAUAAGACUGGGAUAACUUCGGGAAACCGUAGCUAAUACCGGAUAAUAUUUUGAACCGCAUGGUUCAAAAGUGAAAGACGGUCUUGCUGUCACUUAUAGAUGGAUCAGCGCUGCAUUAGCUAGUUGGUAAGGUAACGGCUUACCAAGGCAACGAUGCAUAGCCGACCUGAGAGGGUGAUCGGCCACACUGGAACUGAGACACGGUCCAGACUCCUACGGGAGGCAGCAGUAGGGAAUCUUCCGCAAUGGGCGAAAGCCUGACGGAGCAACGCCGCGUGAGUGAUGAAGGUCUUCGGAUCGUAAAACUCUGUUAUUAGGGAAGAACAUACGUGUAAGUAACUGUGCACAUCUUGACGGUACCUAAUCAGAAAGCCACGGCUAACUACGUG